Molecule: ribosomal RNA, 1622 nt
Filed under: Triticum aestivum (bread wheat)
Lineage: Eukaryota; Viridiplantae; Streptophyta; Magnoliopsida; Poales; Poaceae
Description: partial small subunit ribosomal RNA
Source: RNAcentral
ACGGGCACGGCCGACGUCGCUGUCGCGUGCGGGAACGCGUACGCCGCCCGUCUCCUCCCGCGAUAAAAACCCACCCCCUCCCACCCUCCGUCCCCGCCUCGCCUCCUCCUCCUCCACCCCAUUUCCCCAAAGCCUCGACUCGAUCGAUCCCGUCUCCUGCCCACGCUCGGCCUCCCCCGAGGAGAUCAGGCCACCGUGCGGUGCAGACAGGGCUCGCCGGCCGUCCUCGCGCGCGCGGGAUUGUGUAGCUACCGUCUCUCUCGGCUCGCAGGCGUACGUCAUGGCGCAGCGGGACAAGAAGGUGGAGGAGCCGACGGAGGUGCACCUGCACGCCGCGGAGAUCACGCUCUGCGCCAACAGCUGCGGCUUCCCGGGCAACCCGGCCACCAAGAACCUCUGCCAGAACUGCUUCCUGGCGUCCUCCUCCUCGCCGUCGCCCUCCGCCGCCUCGCCGCAGUCUCCUUCCUCUUCGCCCGCGGCGUUCCCGCUCUUCGACAAGCCGAGGCCGGCCGCCGCUGCGUCGCCCCUGCAGGCGGCGCCCGUCUACAUGGCCGUCGACCGGCCAGCCGCCGGGCCGGCGGACCCGAAGGCGUCCAAGUCGUCCGUCAACCGCUGCCACAACUGCCGGAAGCGCGUUGGCCUGACAGGAUUCCGCUGCCGGUGCGGCGAGAUGUUCUGCGGCGCGCACCGGUACUCGGACCGGCACGACUGCAGCUACGACUACAAGUCGGCGGCCAGGGACGCCAUCGCCAGGGAAAACCCCGUGGUGCGCGCCGCCAAGAUCGUUCGGUUCUGAUCAACAGGACACCACGUCUACGCGUACCCGGCGAAAUCUGAAGCAGCAGAACCACUCUUUUCCUUUCUUUCCUUUGAAAAAUUAAAGGCGUUCGCGAGAGUUUCUUAAAGGUGAAAAAAAAGGAGAGGAAGGUGAAAGAUUGCGAUGGGGCAGCCACGACGAAGAAACAGUGCGAUGAUAACGUUGUUGUUGUAGCGGUGGUUGGCGGUGGAGAGGAGAUGAGGAGGAUGGGGUUGGUGUGUACUGUUGUCCCACAAUCUCUAUUUAAUUCAAAUUUCCCUAUUGUAUAAAUUAUUAUUAUUAUUAUCAUUUCUAUGAUGCACUAUUCGUUAACUUUAGCUGUCAACCUUUUUCUCCCACUGGCCGAGUAUUGUCCAUGACAGCUCAACCAUUGACGUUUGGAUCGCUCUGUUGGAUUGGUUCGGCGGAGAAUUAUUGGGCGUCACCCGCAAAAAUAAUAAUUCGCCAGGCGUAUGGUGAAAUCGACAUGUUUCGGGUGGGAACUCAGCGUAGCACCAAAGGCGUCCAUGAUUUUCUGUGGAUUGUGGGUCGGGGUGGUGCCACGAAGGAUAGACAGCGACGCUCCGUUUUCUGCACAGACCGCUGAUCAGAAUUCGGAAGUAACAGGACGUCCAGCCAGCUGCCGGGCUAAUUAGGUUGGCCAGCGACAUCCAUCCACCGGGUCACAGCUCAGGGCCGCGCAGAAGAUCCGUCGGCGGGUAGAAUUCAGAGCGGUGGUGGCACACGCACCGGAGACCCACCCACUUGCGGAUGGCAUCGAUCGGCAUCACCGGCACAGGUCGGCAGGCAGCACCACCACCACUGC